Lathyrus oleraceus (garden pea) is the source of this 4830-nucleotide RNA transcript. RefSeq lists it as uncharacterized. The record is from RefSeq and is a predicted model, not a curated record. The transcript has 15 exons. NCBI's taxonomy places the organism in Eukaryota, Viridiplantae, Streptophyta, Magnoliopsida, Fabales, Fabaceae.
UGGUUAAUCAAAAGACUCUAAGCAUUGACACGUUUGUAAGGCACGUGGGAUUGUAGUUAGAUGUAGGUCAAGUUCUGAACCUAAUCCAAUCCAGAACCUCCGUGCGUGCCACAAACGUUCGUUGUUCUUCCGUACUGGCUUCAUUUUCAAGCACAAAAACCUACAAACCCUAACCCUAACCCUAAUUCUCUAUCCAAUCAUGGCCACCGACGGCCACGACUCUCGACGCAAGCAUCGCCGAUCAUCCUCUCCGGACGACCACGACAAAUCCUCAAAGCGUCAUAAGCACCGCCACCAUCAUAGCCACCGCCAUCGCCAUGGCAGCAAAAAACGCGAUGAAGAGAUUCAAUACGAUGGCGAAAUUGUUGCCGCGGUUCCUUCUCCAAGCCCCCCUUCCGAUCCUGCUCCACGUAGUCACCUCCCUGACGAUGACGUCGAGGAGGGAGAGAUUCUCGAUGACGAGCCUUUGGGCGGUGAGGUGGGAAAGAAGCAGAUUGAAUCUGAUGUUGAAUCUGGGGAAAUUGAGGUGAAAGGAGAUCGAGAUCUCCGAUCUGAGAAGAAAAAUCCGGGACUUCUAGCUAAAAGUUUGAAAAUUGAAAGUGAGGACUUCCACAAUGAUAGAUUUAUUAGUCCUCCUUCUGAUGUAGAAGAUGAAAAGUGGCGUCAGAGGCACAUUGAAUCUCGAAGUCAUGAAGAUGAUGAUGAUUCUCCAAACCAUUCAAGAGCUGGGAGGAAUGUUCGAGCUAGUCAUGAUGCUUUGGGCAAUGGGUAUUUGGAUGUUAAGUCUUCUAAAGGGGAUAAGUGGCAGAAUGGGGAGUUUGGACAUUUUAAAGGAAAUGAGAUACUAAAAGGUGACUAUAAUGAUGAAGCACUGGAGGCUAAUAGAAAGGAAGAAAAUUCCCACAGGAAUGCCUCUGAAAGUGGAGAAGAAAAACAUAGAAUGCCAGGGAAUUCUCCUUUGCAUGAUGGAUACAGAAGUCGAUCAAGAUCAAUUGGCCAUACAAGAGACAGGUCUCCUUCUCGCAGUGCUGUAGAAGAGUAUGUCCAUCCCAAUAGCAGGCACUCCAGGGAAAAGGGUUCCCUUUAUUAUACUAGCAGACAUAAGACUGACUAUGACCUUGAUGAGGAAAGAGUGAGUGCAUACAGAAGGGAGCAUCGUCACGGCAGUAAGGAUUUGGUGGAGGGUGAUAAACAGGAACACAGUACCAGGUAUCAAAGUCGGGAGGCCCGGGAUAGGGAUAGAGCUACCUACAGGAGUAGGGACAGAGAUGUGGAUAGAGACUUGCACAGAGAAAAGAAGGGAGAGGAAACAAAUAACUAUAAGGAAGUUGAUUGGAUGCGUAGAAGGGAGAAAGAACGUGGAAGGAGCCACGAUAGACCUAGAAGGGACAUUGAAAAAGAUAGGAGCAGGGAAAGAGAUGAGGGUAGGGAUAGGAGAAGAGAAAAGGAAAGAGAUAGGAGCAGAGACACAGUUUAUGAGAGGGAUAGGAGAAGGGAAAUGGAAAGAGAUAUGAGCAAGGACAGAACAAGGGGUGGUGAGAGAGAUAGAGACUGGAAGAGUGAAUGGGAUUAUAGGAACCGGGAAAGGGAUAGCAUUAAGGAGAGGGAGAGACGAGAUGAUAGAUAUCGACACAAUGACAAAGAUGCUCCUUAUGGUAAAGAUAAGCAUAUGCGUCGCGAGGAUGGCAAUGACAGUGGAGAUAGAUAUAAGAAACAUUCAAGAUAUGAAGAAAAUGGACACCACACAGAUAGAAAGAGGAACUAUACCAUGGAAGAGGAUGGAAGGAAACUAAAAGGUGAGAUUGAACAAGACGAUGUAGACGAGGAUACAUUGCAACUACCCGAGCAAGAAGAGGAAGAUCUGAACAGAAUAAAAGAGGAGAGUAGAAGAAGACGGGAAGCAAUAAUGGAAAAAUACAAAAAGCAGAAUCAGAAAAUUGAACAAGCAGCUGGAAAUGAAGGAAAAGGCAAGGAUGUGGAGAUUCAUACUGACAUUUUUAAAGCAGUUGAUGGUAAGAGUGAUGAUGUUGAUAAUGUGGAACCAUCAUUUUCUGUUGGGAAAUCUCCACCGGAAAAUGUAAAUGUCAGAUCAGAGAAGGUACCUGGUGCUGGGGGCCUAGGCGAGGGUACUCCUAAGAGUGAGAGGUCAGCUGACAAGUAUUGUGAUGAUAUAUUUGGUGAGACACCAACUGGAGUUCGGAAAUCGGGAAAAGGAGAUGGAUUAUUAAUUGAAAGGGUUGGCCUGCAUGACAACUGGGAUGAUGCAGAGGGCUAUUACAGUUAUCGUUUUGGUGAAAUACUUGAUGGCCGAUAUGAAGUAACUGCUGCACACGGGAAGGGUGUCUUUUCAACAGUUGUACGAGCUAAGAAUCUAAAAACUGGUAAUGGUGAGCCAGAUGAAGUAGCAAUAAAAAUUAUUCGUAAUAAUGACACCAUGUACAAGGCUGGUUUGGAUGAGUUGGUCAUUUUAAAGAAAUUAGUAGGUGCAGAUCCGGAUGAUAAGCGUCACUGUGUUCGUUUCCUUUCAAGCUUUAAGUAUAGAAAUCAUCUAUGUUUAGUUUUUGAAUCUCUAAAUAUGAAUCUGCGUGAAGUUUUAAAGAAGUUUGGUCGCAAUAUUGGCCUUAGGCUAACUGCUGUGAGGGCAUAUGCAAAACAGCUUUUUAUUGCACUGAAGCAUCUCCGUAACUGUGGUGUUCUGCACUGUGAUAUAAAGCCUGACAAUAUGUUGGUGAAUGAAGCCAAAAAUGUUUUAAAGCUUUGUGAUUUUGGGAAUGCCAUGUUUGCUGGUAAAAAUGAAGUUACACCGUAUCUCGUGAGUCGCUUUUAUCGUGCCCCUGAAAUAAUUCUUGGAUUGCAGUAUGAUCAUCCAUUGGAUAUUUGGUCUGUAGGCUGUUGUUUGUAUGAACUGUAUACAGGGAAGGUUCUUUUUCCAGGGCUCACAAACAACGACAUGCUACGGCUUCACAUGGAAUUGAAGGGCCCCUUUCCAAAAAAGAUGCUCCGAAAGGGAGCAUUUACUGAACAACAUUAUGACCAGGACCUGAGUUUUCAUUCCACAGAGGAGGAUCCUGUAACAAAAAAGACCAUAAAGCGGAUGAUUCUUAACAUAAAGGCGAAAGAUAUAGGAACGAUCAUCACUGGCUCUCCUGGGGAGGAUCCAAAAAUGUUGGCCAAUUUUAAAGAUCUUCUAGAUAAAAUUUUUGUCUUGGAUCCGGACAAGAGAUUGACAGUCUCACAAGCACUGAACCACCCAUUUAUCACUGGCAAGUGACUGAUGUUGCAAAACUUGACUCUCGAAAUGAUAUUUGUACAUAUUUAUCCAAUUGAUAUUAAGGUUCUAAUCAUGUGGCACUAUUUAUCUUCUCUGUACGACCCAAGGAGUAUCAUCACAGUUGUCAGCCUGUCGAAGUGAAAAGUGUGAUGUCGCUAAAGGCGUACAUUUAACUGGCGGUUCUCUGUGGAAUGUACUGUUUCUAUUGAGACACCACGGGUUUGAGGCUUCCCUCCCAUGCUUAGAUGCAUAAAAGGAACCCAGGAGAAGGUAUCUUGGUUUGUUUAUUGGGAGAUUAAAUUUUCCGUUUUAAAAUGAAUGAUACUUUCCAUGUAACUUGGUUUAUAUUGGUUUGUUUACCAUGUGGGAAGGAAAUAUAUUAAGAUGAGACUGAAAGGCUCUUGUGUGAGUCAUGAGAAAAUUUGAGCUCAUCAAUUGUUUGUGUUUUAGCUAGGUGCAUAGACUAGGAUGAGUGGUUAGUCUUGAACCUACAUUUUCAUCUAGAUGCAGGUUCCAGUACUACACACAAAUGCCUAAUUGCCACUAUAUUGAAGAAAAUUCAGUAUUAGGGAAAUAUUUAACAAGAUCUCUGUUGUCUAGGCUUCUUCUUUCUUCUUAGUAAUGGCUAGAGUUGGGCAUAUAGGUAUCAAUUAUAUAGCUGUAAUUGAGCAUCUCUUUUUGUCUGAUGUCUUGUUUUCUUGUUAUUUUCUUAUGUUUACCUUUAUUUAUCCUAAUGGAUUAAUGUUGCAUUUUAUCCAUGGCGGUUCAAUGUGGAGGCAUUUCUAUUGGAUGUUUGGCUGUGUUCUUGAAGCAUUUCUUAUCUCGGUAAUGUAUCGUGCUCCUGCAAUUUUGGUGCUGUUUCUCACGUUCCAGGGAAGUUUAGUUGGGUGAUUGUUUUUGGGGACUCAUUUAAAGUUUGUGUGCUUGUUUUGAUUUCAAUUUCUACAUACAAGAACGUUAUGAAAGCAUGCCAUCUUUUUGUAUAUUUAUAGCAACAAUACAGGUGAGUAUCCGAGUCUGAGUUCCUUGCUUCCACAUCUUUGGCAUGAGAUUUUGGUAUGCUAGCAAAAAGUAUUCUGCCUGUCCAAACGUUGAAUAAAUGCACCUCCUUCAUUUCUGAUUACACUAACCUAUUAUUUAUCACAGGCCUCAAUAAAAAUUAUGGAGUCUUUUUCUGGACUAACAUACAUCUAAAUUGUUUUCAAUGAUUAUUCUUACAAUCCAAUGGGUUUCAAUAUAGGGGAUCUAUAAAUUUGAGAUUACUAAUUAUUUUUCCAAUCCAAUGGAUUUAAAUGAAGGGGCAUCUAUAAAUUUGAGAAUACUAACUUGGGAGCUAAAUUAUUGUUGGCUGCAUUUGCUUGCUUUCUUUAAUAUAAUUAACGCCCUUUUGCUGUCCUAAAGCAUAUUAUAGGAUGUACUCUAUCUGUUUUCUCAGAUUCAAAAUGAGUUCGUAGGAUUUGUUUUUAAAUAUCAUUUUUUUUUCAAUUGUAUCCUUCAAUAAUGAAUUAAAUUGUACAUUACUUCCCAUAUAUUAAUAAUGAAAUUUAGUAUUAUUAUAA